GACGAACGCUGGCGGCGUGCUUAACACAUGCAAGUCGAACGGAAAGGCCCUGCUUUUGUGGGGUGCUCGAGUGGCGAACGGGUGAGUAACACGUGAGUAACCUGCCCUUGACUUUGGGAUAACUUCAGGAAACUGGGGCUAAUACCGGAUAGGAGCUCCUGCUGCAUGGUGGGGGUUGGAAAGUUUCGGCGGUUGGGGAUGGACUCGCGGCUUAUCAGCUUGUUGGUGGGGUAGUGGCUUACCAAGGCUUUGACGGGUAGCCGGCCUGAGAGGGUGACCGGCCACAUUGGGACUGAGAUACGGCCCAGACUCCUACGGGAGGCAGCAGUGGGGAAUAUUGCACAAUGGGCGGAAGCCUGAUGCAGCAACGCCGCGUGCGGGAUGACGGCCUUCGGGUUGUAAACCGCUUUCGCCUGUGACGAAGCGUGAGUGACGGUAAUGGGUAAAGAAGCACCGGCUAACUACGUGCCAGCAGCCGCGGUGAUACGUAGGGCGCGAGCGUUGUCCGGAUUUAUUGGGCGUAAAGGGCUCGUAGGUGGUUGAUCGCGUCGGAAGUGUAAUCUUGGGGCUUAACCCUGAGCGUGCUUUCGAUACGGGUUGACUUGAGGAAGGUAGGGGAGAAUGAAAUUCCUGGUGGAGCGGUGGAAUGCGCAGAUAUCAGGAGGAACACCAGUGGCGAAGGCGGUUCUCUGGGCCUUUCCUGACGCUGAGGAGCGAAAGCGUGGGGAGCGAACAGGCUUAGAUACCCUGGUAGUCCACGCUGUAAACGGUGGGUACUAGGUGUGGGGUCCAUUCCACGGGUUCCGUGCCGUAGCUAACGCUUUAAGUACCCCGCCUGGGGAGUACGGCCGCAAGGCUAAAACUCAAAGGAAUUGACGGGGCCCCGCACAAGCGGCGGAGCAUGCGGAUUAAUUCGAUGCAACGCGUAGAACCUUACCUGGGUUUGACAUGGAUCGGGAGUGCUCAGAGAUGGGUGUGCCUCUUUUGGGGUCGGUUCACAGGUGGUGCAUGCCUGUCGUCAGCUCGUGUCGUGAGAUGUUGGGUUAAGUCCCGCAACGAGCGCAACCCUUGUUCACUGUUGCCAGCACGUUAUGGUGGGGACUCAGUGGAGACCGCCGGGGUCAACUCGGAGGAAGGUGGGGAUGACGUCAAGUCCUCAUGCCCCUUAUGUCCAGGGCUUCACGCAUGCUACAAUGGCUGGUACAGAGAGUGGCGAGCCUGUGAGGGUGAGCGAAUCUCGGAAAGCCGGUCUCAGUUCGGAUUGGGGUCUGCAACUCGACCUCAUGAAGUCGGAGUCGCUAGUAAUCGCAGAUCAGCAACGCUGCGGUGAAUACGUUCCCGGG
This 1343-nucleotide ribosomal RNA is filed under the name uncultured bacterium. RNAcentral's name for it is "16S ribosomal RNA". It matches the Rfam family "Bacterial small subunit ribosomal RNA", at positions 28 to 1378 of the family's 1533-position model. The record is from RNAcentral.